GGCUUCGGCCCCAGUACCGCGGCAGACGGGUGAGUAACACGUGAGUAACCUGUCCUCGGGUCUGGGAUAACCACCCGAAAGGGUGGCUAAUACCGGAUAAAGUCACCGGGCGCAAGCUCGGUGAUGAAAGGGGGCCUCUGCAUAGCAAGCUCCUGCCUGAGGAGGGGGCUCGCGGCCCAUCAGCUAGUUGGUGGGGUAACGGCCCACCAAGGCUAUGACGGGUAGCCGGCCUGAGAGGGUGGUCGGCCACACGGGCACUGAGACACGGGCCCGACUCCUACGGGAGGCAGCAGUGGGGAAUCUUGGGCAAUGGGCGAAAGCCUGACCCAGCGACGCCGCGUGGGGGAAGAAGGCCUUCGGGUCGUAAACCCCUGUUCUGGGGGAAGAACCCUGACUGGGUUAAGAGCCCAGUCAGGCUGACGGUACCCCAGGAGAAAGCCACGGCUAACUGCGUGCCAGCAGCCGCGGUAAUACGCAGGUGGCGAGCGUUGCCCGGAAUUACUGGGCGUAAAGGGUGCGUAGGCGGCCGGACAAGUCGUAGGUUAAAGCCCGGGGCUCAACCCCGGAAAGGCCUACGAUACUGUCUGGCUUGAGGGCUGGAGAGGCUGGCGGAAUUCCCGGUGUAGGGGUGAAAUCCGUAGAUAUCGGGAGGAACACCGGAGGGGAAGCCGGCCAGCUGGACAGCUCCUGACGCUGAGGCACGAAAGCGUGGGGAGCAAACCGGAUUAGAUACCCGGGUAGUCCACGCCGUAAACGAUGGGUGCUAGGUCUGGGGAGGUAAUCUCUCUGGGCCGAAGCUAACGCGUUAAGCA
RNAcentral lists this ribosomal RNA (812 nucleotides) under uncultured Thermodesulfobacteriaceae bacterium. RNAcentral describes it as "bacterial SSU rRNA". It matches the Rfam family "Bacterial small subunit ribosomal RNA", at positions 76 to 866 of the family's 1533-position model. Lineage: Bacteria; Pseudomonadati; Thermodesulfobacteriota; Thermodesulfobacteria; Thermodesulfobacteriales; Thermodesulfobacteriaceae. The record is from RNAcentral.